UCUAGCCGCCACGCAUAUAAAGGAUUUAGAGUGAAAAACUUUGUUUUUACGGGUUAUACUUAUUGAACAUCGCAUCGUGGAACUGACUCCGAUAUCACUCGCCACUGAUGCUCGUCAAGAGGAGCACAGUGUACUAACCGUUACACCCCCCCCCUCCCCAUGAUCGUGUACAAAUAAAAAGGUCCCCCGUGUAGCCCUAGUAGACGUUUGGGGCAAGUGCUGCUAUCGAGCAGCUAUGAAGGCCGGCACGGCACGCGAGGGGGUGGGUGGCCAGCACCACGCCCGGACAACUUUGUCUUCACAGUGGCAAAGUUUACACACCGCACCAGAUAUAUUCGACGAUUCCCGAAGAAGCAAAGCUCCGCAACCGAGCACGUGGCCCGAAACGUCGGACUUCGUCCCGAGCACAACCAGAAAACACAUCGGGACCUGAGGCUGGAUUGAAAGGUGCGUGACGUCAUUUAUGGACGGCCCCUAAGAGCAAGGCGGAGGUGCAGCCCUUGCUCGUGUCACCGCUACUGGAAGGGCUUCCCGCAAUUACAGGGAACUCUUUCCAGAGCUCCCUCCAGAUUGUGUUGGAAGGCACUUUGGUCUGCUCUUCCAUGUUCGCCAGACUACUUGGAAGAAGUGAAAAGUAUCCACACUAGGGCGCCUCGGUGGCUGGGAGAUGUUAACUAUCUCGUCUGGUAUACAGGAGGUUGUGGGUUCGAUGCCCACCGCGACGCCUGCUGUAUAUUUGGAGUUUGCAUGUUCUCUCCCCGUGGUCGCGUGGAUAUGUCUCUGGAUCCUCCGGGUUUUCCCUCCACAUUAAGGAACGACACGCGUUUCGAGUGUUUGGCUGCUGUAAAUGCCCCACGUUAUGAUACGCCACUUUUUAAAUCCUUUAUAUUAAGUUCGCUUGCUUGCGUGCUUGCUUGCUUGCUUACGACCGUGCAAACCUUUCGUUUUUUAACCCACUUCCCGUGAUCCAAUCGAGCUGACAUUUUGCACGCAGACUCGUUGUGCGUGACAAUUAAUGUUCGUGAAAAUGUUUUUCCAAAAUUUUACACUGUUUAGGGAAAACAAAUUAAUUAUUUAAUUACCAAUUGUUUAAUACUGCAGACAAUCAUCUGACCCAUAGGUGGCAGCCAUCUCAAGCCAGAGGACGAGAGGACUCUAGCCGCCACGCAUAUAAAGGAUUUAGAGUGAAAAACUUUGUUUUUACGGGUUAUACUUAUUUUGAGCUGUCAUUUGUGGCCAGGUCGCUUCUGAAAAAGAACUGCGUAGCUCAGUAGGGACUUACCUGGUGUUCCCUUGCACGAGGACUCACGCACAACGGAACGUUUUGGCUUGACCGGUUUUUGUGUUUUUUGCACGAGCAGCUACACAAGCGCGACCCACCCAUAGGGUCGCCACCUUUGAAUGCAGCCGCCGUUUGGUGCAAAACGGAGACCGACAGCACACGGAUGCCCUACCCGCGACGCGGGCCAAGUUGGCAUCUUGGUGCAACGACGUGGAGUCUGGGCAAAGCUAUUUAAACGAGCGUUAUUGACGCAAUGUAUUGAGGUUUGUUGUUGUUGUUGUUUGUGCACCACUGCCAACGCAAGCUGCAGCGUUAGGUAGGUAACUCUGCACGCCAAAGAGGCGCGGGUUGGCAGCCCCGACUCUUUAUUCAGAUGCUGCUGCUGCUGGAGCCCAAAUUGCGUCGCAUUAUCAUCGCAGCAAGCGGACGUCGUGGGGCAGCUCAAAGUAUGAUCAGACGCAGCUUGCGUGAGUUGAAAUAGCUUCUUGACCCUUACCCUGAAUAAACACAUUCACAAAGUCUAAAUUUAGACGCGUUCCAUGCUCUGCCAAUUUUUAUUUUUACAAAAUAUAAAUAUUUAAUUCAGACCUUUAUCCAUUAACCGGUGUUACAUAGAUGAUAGGGGAGCAGUGGCGACGCAGUGGUUAGCACAUUGAAUUAAUUAUCGACCCAGUGGCC
Lethenteron reissneri (Far Eastern brook lamprey) is the source of this 1960-nucleotide long non-coding RNA. RefSeq lists it as uncharacterized. The record is from RefSeq and is a predicted model, not a curated record. Lineage: Eukaryota; Metazoa; Chordata; Hyperoartia; Petromyzontiformes; Petromyzontidae.